UUAAGCGACUAAGCGUACACGGUGGAUGCCCUGGCAGUCAGAGGCGAUGAAGGACGUGCUAAUCUGCGAUAAGCGUCGGUAAGGUGAUAUGAACCGUUAUAACCGGCGAUUUCCGAAUGGGGAAACCCAGUGUGAUUCGUCACACUAUCAUUAACUGAAUCCAUAGGUUAAUGAGGCGAACCGGGGGAACUGAAACAUCUAAGUACCCCGAGGAAAAGAAAUCAACCGAGAUUCCCCCAGUAGCGGCGAGCGAACGGGGAGCAGCCCAGAGCCUGAAUCAGUGUGUGUGUUAGUGGAAGCGUCUGGAAAGGCGCGCGAUACAGGGUGACAGCCCCGUACACAAAAAUGCACAUGCUGUGAGCUCGAUGAGUAGGGCGGGACACGUGGUAUCCUGUCUGAAUAUGGGGGGACCAUCCUCCAAGGCUAAAUACUCCUGACUGACCGAUAGUGAACCAGUACCGUGAGGGAAAGGCGAAAAGAACCCCGGCGAGGGGAGUGAAAAAGAACCUGAAACCGUGUACGUACAAGCAGUGGGAGCACGCUUAGGCGUGUGACUGCGUACCUUUUGUAUAAUGGGUCAGCGACUUAUAUUCUGUAGCAAGGUUAACCGAAUAGGGGAGCCGAAGGGAAACCGAGUCUUAACUGGGCGUUAAGUUGCAGGGUAUAGACCCGAAACCCGGUGAUCUAGCCAUGGGCAGGUUGAAGGUUGGGUAACACUAACUGGAGGACCGAACCGACUAAUGUUGAAAAAUUAGCGGAUGACUUGUGGCUGGGGGUGAAAGGCCAAUCAAACCGGGAGAUAGCUGGUUCUCCCCGAAAGCUAUUUAGGUAGCGCCUCGUGAAUUCAUCUCCGGGGGUAGAGCACUGUUUCGGCAAGGGGGUCAUCCCGACUUACCAACCCGAUGCAAACUGCGAAUACCGGAGAAUGUUAUCACGGGAGACACACGGCGGGUGCUAACGUCCGUCGUGAAGAGGGAAACAACCCAGACCGCCAGCUAAGGUCCCAAAGUCAUGGUUAAGUGGGAAACGAUGUGGGAAGGCCCAGACAGCCAGGAUGUUGGCUUAGAAGCAGCCAUCAUUUAAAGAAAGCGUAAUAGCUCACUGGUCGAGUCGGCCUGCGCGGAAGAUGUAACGGGGCUAAACCAUGCACCGAAGCUGCGGCAGCGACACUAUGUGUUGUUGGGUAGGGGAGCGUUCUGUAAGCCUGUGAAGGUGUACUGUGAGGUAUGCUGGAGGUAUCAGAAGUGCGAAUGCUGACAUAAGUAACGAUAAAGCGGGUGAAAAGCCCGCUCGCCGGAAGACCAAGGGUUCCUGUCCAACGUUAAUCGGGGCAGGGUGAGUCGACCCCUAAGGCGAGGCCGAAAGGCGUAGUCGAUGGGAAACAGGUUAAUAUUCCUGUACUUGGUGUUACUGCGAAGGGGGGACGGAGAAGGCUAUGUUGGCCGGGCGACGGUUGUCCCGGUUUAAGCGUGUAGGCUGGUUUUCCAGGCAAAUCCGGAAAAUCAAGGCUGAGGCGUGAUGACGAGGCACUACGGUGCUGAAGCAACAAAUGCCCUGCUUCCAGGAAAAGCCUCUAAGCAUCAGGUAACAUCAAAUCGUACCCCAAACCGACACAGGUGGUCAGGUAGAGAAUACCAAGGCGCUUGAGAGAACUCGGGUGAAGGAACUAGGCAAAAUGGUGCCGUAACUUCGGGAGAAGGCACGCUGAUAUGUAGGUGAAGUCCCUCGCGGAUGGAGCUGAAAUCAGUCGAAGAUACCAGCUGGCUGCAACUGUUUAUUAAAAACACAGCACUGUGCAAACACGAAAGUGGACGUAUACGGUGUGACGCCUGCCCGGUGCCGGAAGGUUAAUUGAUGGGGUUAGCGCAAGCGAAGCUCUUGAUCGAAGCCCCGGUAAACGGCGGCCGUAACUAUAACGGUCCUAAGGUAGCGAAAUUCCUUGUCGGGUAAGUUCCGACCUGCACGAAUGGCGUAAUGAUGGCCAGGCUGUCUCCACCCGAGACUCAGUGAAAUUGAACUCGCUGUGAAGAUGCAGUGUACCCGCGGCAAGACGGAAAGACCCCGUGAACCUUUACUAUAGCUUGACACUGAACAUUGAGCCUUGAUGUGUAGGAUAGGUGGGAGGCUUUGAAGUGUGGACGCCAGUCUGCAUGGAGCCGACCUUGAAAUACCACCCUUUAAUGUUUGAUGUUCUAACGUUGACCCGUGAUCCGGGUUGCGGACAGUGUCUGGUGGGUAGUUUGACUGGGGCGGUCUCCUCCUAAAGAGUAACGGAGGAGCACGAAGGUUGGCUAAUCCUGGUCGGACAUCAGGAGGUUAGUGCAAUGGCAUAAGCCAGCUUGACUGCGAGCGUGACGGCGCGAGCAGGUGCGAAAGCAGGUCAUAGUGAUCCGGUGGUUCUGAAUGGAAGGGCCAUCGCUCAACGGAUAAAAGGUACUCCGGGGAUAACAGGCUGAUACCGCCCAAGAGUUCAUAUCGACGGCGGUGUUUGGCACCUCGAUGUCGGCUCAUCACAUCCUGGGGCUGAAGUAGGUCCCAAGGGUAUGGCUGUUCGCCAUUUAAAGUGGUACGCGAGCUGGGUUUAGAACGUCGUGAGACAGUUCGGUCCCUAUCUGCCGUGGGCGCUGGAGAACUGAGGGGGGCUGCUCCUAGUACGAGAGGACCGGAGUGGACGCAUCACUGGUGUUCGGGUUGUCAUGCCAAUGGCACUGCCCGGUAGCUAAAUGCGGAAGAGAUAAGUGCUGAAAGCAUCUAAGCACGAAACUUGCCCCGAGAUGAGUUCUCCCUGACUCCUUGAGAGUCCUGAAGGAACGUUGAAGACGACGACGUUGAUAGGCCGGGUGUGUAAGCGCAGCGAUGCGUUGAGCUAACCGGUACUAAUGAACCGUGAGGCUUAACCUU
Molecule: ribosomal RNA, 2901 nt
Filed under: Escherichia coli
Lineage: Bacteria; Pseudomonadati; Pseudomonadota; Gammaproteobacteria; Enterobacterales; Enterobacteriaceae
Description: bacterial LSU rRNA
Rfam family: Bacterial large subunit ribosomal RNA
Source: RNAcentral